CAAGAGCGUAUAUUAAAGUUGUUGCAGUUAAAAAGCUCGUAGUUGGAUUUCUGGUACAAUGCGCCUGGCCCGCGACCGUUAGGUCUGUGAGUGCCGGUGCGCGUUUGCCAUCCUUCUAGAAAACGUUUCUACCCUUCACUGGGCCGGACUCGCGAUCUAGAUCUCUUACUUUGAAAAAAUUAGAGUGUUUAAAGCAGGCUUUUGCUGUGAAUACAUUAGCAUGGAAUAAUAAUCUAGGACUUCGGUUCUAUUUUGUUGGUUUCUAGUACUGAAGUAAUGAUUGAUAGGGAUAGUUGGGGGUGCUAGUAUUGGCCGGCCAGAGGUGAAAUUCUUGGAUUUGUUAAAGACGGACUACUGCGAAAGCAUUUGCCAAGGAUGUUUUCAUUGA
RNAcentral lists this ribosomal RNA (388 nucleotides) under uncultured eukaryote. RNAcentral's name for it is "partial 18S ribosomal RNA". It matches the Rfam family "Eukaryotic small subunit ribosomal RNA", at positions 592 to 976 of the family's 1831-position model. The record is from RNAcentral.